AGAGCCAGGAUCAGAAUAUAGAAACAGUGAAAUUGUUGAGAGCACCAGAGACAAGAGAGCUGGCUGACAGGGCUGGUGUUGCCCACGGAGAGAGCAGCAUGGAUUCACCAGCCUGAUUUGCUGCUUCUUCCUGCAUCCAGCCUGCUCCUGGGUCUCCUUCCCCACCUCACAGCCAUGGCAACCAAAUGCACGGGCUUGUGAAGACCAGCAGCCCAACUUCAGCAAGGUCUCGCUGGCCUGGACAGAAGAGCCAAGAUGAAUUACCAUGUGCAUGGAGAGAAGCCAUGGCCCAAGGAUGGGAAUUGCAGAUCUGGAGGCUGAAGCCCCACAUUGGCAUCCUGGCUCUACUCCCACUGGUUCUGUCACCCUGGGCAAGGCACUUCUCCCAAGCUGCAGUUCUGCCAACUGAGAAGCAGAGACAAUGACACUUGUUCCGCUCACCUUGCAGGGUUGUUGUGAGAAGGAAAUAAAGUAUUUGGAAG
Molecule: long non-coding RNA, 482 nt
Filed under: Homo sapiens (human)
Lineage: Eukaryota; Metazoa; Chordata; Mammalia; Primates; Hominidae
Description: HSALNT0250060
Source: RNAcentral